Molecule: microRNA, 21 nt
Filed under: Oreochromis niloticus (Nile tilapia)
Lineage: Eukaryota; Metazoa; Chordata; Actinopteri; Cichliformes; Cichlidae
Description: oni-miR-10594c
Source: miRBase by way of RNAcentral
UUCUGUGUCGUUGGGUUUAGG